This 487-nucleotide ribosomal RNA is filed under the name Vishniacozyma carnescens. RNAcentral describes it as "eukaryotic LSU rRNA". It matches the Rfam family "Eukaryotic large subunit ribosomal RNA", at positions 99 to 592 of the family's 3401-position model. Lineage: Eukaryota; Fungi; Basidiomycota; Tremellomycetes; Tremellales; Bulleribasidiaceae. The record is from RNAcentral.
CGGGAUGAGCUCAAAUUUGAAAUCUGGCGUCUUUCAGGCGUCCGAGUUGUAAUCUAUAGAGGCGUUUUCCGCGCCGGACCGCGUCCAAGUCUCUUGGAAUAGAGUAUCAAAGAGGGUGACAAUCCCGUACUUGACGCGACAACCGGUGCUCUGUGAUACGUUCUCAAUGAGUCGAGUUGUUUGGGAAUGCAGCUCUAAAUGGGUGGUAAAUUCCAUCUAAGGCUAAAUAUUGGCGAGAGACCGAUAGCGAACAAGUACCGUGAGGGAAAGAUGAAAAGCACUUUGGAAAGAGAGUUAAACAGCACGUGAAAUUGUUAAAAGGGAAACGAUUGAAGUCAGUCGUGUGGGAAGUAUUCAGCCGUCUCUGGCGGUGUAUUUGCUUCUCACGGGUCAACAUCAGUUUGAUCCGGUAGAAAAAGGCGGGAAGAAGGUGGCACCCUCGGGUGUGUUAUAGCUUCCUGUCAUAUGUGCCGGACCAGACUGAGGA